GGACCCGGGUGGUGUGGAGCGGAGUGGAGGGAACCAUCAUGGACUGCUGCAGAGCGGGGAAGACACAAACACACACGUCCAGCUACCCUGUCCCAGCUAAAGAAAAGCAGGGAUGAUGCCACCAAACAAACCACUGAGACCUUCACCUGGAUUUAUACUGUGAUUAAUACACAAAGAGAGAGAAAAAAGAAGAACAAGCGAAUCGAGUCAUCCACCGUCAUUGUUGGGUAGAAGGACAUCAGCUGGUUGAGGUAAGAAAAAACAAAGAAUACAGAUGUGGGAAAGAAAGAUUUUCUGAUAGGUCAAAGAAGCUCAAGAUUUCAAACUAAAGUAAACUGUAGAUCUCAGCCAAACCAUGCAAAAACAAGCCUGUUUUUAUUCAGAUGCCUGCUUCAGGGUGGAGGCUAUAAGUAGAGGUGUCAAUGCUAAGCCAUGUUUGACCAGUAAGGUUAUUUCUGUUAUAAUCUUUGUGAGUUAGUAGGUCACCCAGUAAAGCUGCAUAGUCAUUCUGUGCAGCCUCAUGGUUUCCUGUUUCUGUUGCUGUACGCUUCAGAAGAAGGUCAGCAACUUCACACAUAGGUGAGCAUGAUCCUAAAGAAGUUUCACAACCCGCUGUAAAACUUCCUUAUCUGACUUUAGUAAGAAAAAUGGCAAAACUAAAUGGCAUUUAGUUUGAAUGUAAAUGGCUAAAGAUAUAAAGUAUGCUUUUAUAUUAUGGAAACCUUGACAUCAACAGAAAACAUCCCACCUUUACUGUUUUUGAGACAUUUUUCCUUCUCUUCAUCAUCUGUCUCAAUGUUUCAACAUUUGCCAGGUAUCUGUUACAUGAAAAUAAGCAGCAACAUCUGGAAGCAGUUUUGCUGGGUACAUUGGUUGUUUUAUGCAGAUUGUGUCAUCACUAUAACAAGAAAAAUGCAUAGGCCUUAUCCUUCAUAAUGUAGGCAAACCUGUCUUCUACGUGAAGCACUUCCAGAAGUGAGUUAAACAUGUAUGUAAAAUAAAUAUUGCACCACACCUAAACAGAUCACACUGUAGGCGUAUUCCUGCAAUCUGACUGAAUUCACUGCAGAUAUUAAGCCGAGCUCCGUGUAAGGUCGUUUGUGUCAUCCAUGUGCUCUGUGCAUGAUCAUAAAUAAUUUGAUUUAGGUCCAGUUUGCUCUUAUAGUAUAAAAAAACAUGAAGUCUCACACAAACAGAGGUAAAUGUGUCCCGCUCCAACAUCCACAUACGUCGGCCACAGUAAACUGAUUAAUCUGAACUGGCUGCCUGAAGUUUUCCCACACCCGGUGAGGCUCAGAGUGACCUGUAUUGCAAAUUACUUCCUGUUUGACUUGGAGGUCGACAAUAUUGUCCUGGAUGAGCCGAAACUCUCUAAAUUCACAUCCUGUCCUGGGGAUUGCUCAAUCCACAUUUCCCCCUUAUACUUGUCCGUUCAGGUAAUCCCAGAGGUUUUCCUCUGAAAACUCUUUAAUUCGUGACAGAUUCACU
Long non-coding RNA from Girardinichthys multiradiatus, 1488 nucleotides. RefSeq lists it as uncharacterized. The transcript has 3 exons. The record is from RefSeq and is a predicted model, not a curated record. Lineage: Eukaryota; Metazoa; Chordata; Actinopteri; Cyprinodontiformes; Goodeidae.